AAAUCACUUGCCCGGGAUCACAUAGCCAGAUUGAACUCCCAAAGAUGGAAGAAAAAUAAUUAUGAAGAAGCCCACAAAGUAAAUGAGAAGAAAUCAUGAAGUAAAGGAGCAUACAAAUGGGUAUUCUUUCAGGUAUAGAGUACCUUCUUUGAUUCCCCUCUGAAAAGAAAAUCCCAUGCUACAGGUAAGAUGGCUAGAAUGUGCAAUGGAUGGAGUGCCAGGCCAGGAGUGAGGAAGACUCAUCUUUCUGAGUUGAAAUCCAGUCUCAGACAGUAGCUAUGUGACACUGGGCAAGUCACAUUGUUUGCAGCAGUUCCUCAUCAGUAAAAUGAGCUGGAGAAGGAAAUGGCAAAGCGGUCCAGUAUUUUUGCCAAGGAAACUCUAAGUGGAGUCAUGAAGAGUCAGACGUGACUAAUCAACUGAACAACAACAACACAAUGGAAGAAAAAUAAUUACGAAUAUGCCCACAAAUUAAAUGAGAAGAAAUCAUGAAGUAAAGAAAAUAGUACUCAAAAAAUCCCAGCCUGAUGCAAAAACAAUUGAGCCCAAGAUGGAGAAGAAAGUGAUGGAGAAAAUGUUAAAAAUGUGGAUUAAAAAGACUAGCUAG
This 607-nucleotide long non-coding RNA is filed under the name Monodelphis domestica (gray short-tailed opossum). Its description in RNAcentral is "lncRNA (ENSMODG00000035110.2)". Lineage: Eukaryota; Metazoa; Chordata; Mammalia; Didelphimorphia; Didelphidae. The record is from RNAcentral.